GACGAACGCUGGCGGCGUGCCUAACACAUGCAAGUCGAACGGACGAGAUGGCUUCGGCCAUCGAGUUAGUGGCGGACGGGUGAGUAACGCGUGAGCAACCUGCCUUACAGAGGGGGGAUAACACACGGAAACGUGUGCUAAUACCGCAUAAAUCAGGCUAAUGGCAUCAUUAGCUUGGCAAAGGAGCAAUCCGCUGUAAGAUGGGCUCGCGUCCGAUUAGAUAGUUGGCGGGGUAACGGCCCACCAAGUCUGCGAUCGGUAGCCGGACUGAGAGGUUGAUCGGCCACAUUGGGACUGAGACACGGCCCAAACUCCUACGGGAGGCAGCAGUGAGGGAUAUUGCACAAUGGGCGAAAGCCUGAUGCAGCAACGCCGCGUGAGGGAUGACGGUCUUCGGAUUGUAAACCUCUGUCCUCAGUAGAAGAAAAAAUGACGGUAGCUGAGGAGGAAGCCACGGCUAACUACGUGCCAGCAGCCGCGGUAAAC
This 486-nucleotide ribosomal RNA is filed under the name uncultured bacterium. Its description in RNAcentral is "bacterial SSU rRNA". It matches the Rfam family "Bacterial small subunit ribosomal RNA", at positions 28 to 525 of the family's 1533-position model. The record is from RNAcentral.